GAUGAACGCUGGCGGCGUGCUUAACACAUGCAAGUCGAGCGAUGAAGUUUCCUUCGGGAAACGGAUUAGCGGCGGACGGGUGAGUAACACGUGGGUAACCUGCCUUAUAGAGGGGAAUAGCCUUCCGAAAGGAAGAUUAAUACCGCAUAAGAUUGUAGCUUCGCAUGAAGUAGCAAUUAAAGGAGCAAUCCGCUAUAAGAUGGGCCCGCGGCGCAUUAGCUAGUUGGUGAGGUAACGGCUCACCAAGGCGACGAUGCGUAGCCGACCUGAGAGGGUGAUCGGCCACAUUGGGACUGAGACACGGCCCAG
Molecule: ribosomal RNA, 309 nt
Filed under: uncultured bacterium
Lineage: Bacteria
Description: bacterial SSU rRNA
Rfam family: Bacterial small subunit ribosomal RNA
Source: RNAcentral